This 17-nucleotide unclassified non-coding RNA is filed under the name Mus musculus (house mouse). RNAcentral's name for it is "oocyte_clustered_small_RNA14135". The record is from RNAcentral. Lineage: Eukaryota; Metazoa; Chordata; Mammalia; Rodentia; Muridae.
CAAAGCCUCUCCAUGGC